AAAUUCGCCCUUAUAGUUUGUCCUGGCUCAUGAUGAACGCUAGCGGCAGGCCUAACACAUGCAAGUCGAGGGGUAACAGGGAGUAGCUUGCUACUUUGCUGACGACCGGCGCACGGGUGCGUAACGCGUAUACAAUCUGCCUUGUACUGGGGGAUAGCCUUUAGAAAUGAAGAUUAAUACCCCAUAGUAUAUGACUGUGGCAUCACAGCCAUAUUAAAGGUUACGGUACAAGAUGAGUAUGCGUCCUAUUAGCUAGAUGGUGUGGUAACGGCACACCAUGGCGACGAUAGGUAGGGGCCCUGAGAGGGGGAUCCCCCACACUGGUACUGAGACACGGACCAGACUCCUACGGGAGGCAGCAGUGAGGAAUAUUGGACAAUGGAGGCAACUCUGAUCCAGCCAUGCCGCGUGCAGGAAGACUGCCCUAUGGGUUGUAAACUGCUUUUAUACAGGAAGAAACACCCCCACGUGUGGGGGCUUGACAGUACCGUAAGAAUAAGCGGCGGCUAACUCCGUGCCACAGCCGCGGUAAUACGGAUGGUGCAAACGUUAUCCGAAACAUUGGGCGUUAAGGUUCCCU
Molecule: ribosomal RNA, 580 nt
Filed under: uncultured Gilvibacter sp.
Lineage: Bacteria; Pseudomonadati; Bacteroidota; Flavobacteriia; Flavobacteriales; Flavobacteriaceae
Description: bacterial SSU rRNA
Rfam family: Bacterial small subunit ribosomal RNA
Source: RNAcentral